CAGGAUGCGCAUAUGAAGAGCCGCCGAUCAGUUCCCCUUCACAAUAUUAGCCUACUGUAGUGCUACAGAUCUAAAUAAUCCGUGUCGACUGCACGCGCUAUUUGUGAAGCACACAAUUAAAAUAAAGCGGAGCGCGCGACGAGAUGCGCGUUAAACAGCACGCUUAAUUUCCAUCCAUCUGUAUCUCCAUCCGCACUAUUGCGCAGAUCAGAGCCGUGUGUUGUAACUGAUUAACACGCUCGGUGUUUUUACACGGAUACGCAGCAGAAACCCUGAAGGAUCAGCUGACACAUCAACGCGAUGUUACAGACGCAGGUGUGCGGGCGUUGGCGUUCGCACGACGCGAACAACAGAACACAAUGAUGUUGAGAUGUUUGAUUUAUUUUAACUAUGUAGUCUUUUUUAGCUUACACGCUGUUUUAAAACGCAAUGCAACGGCCAAAGACGCCCGGAUGAUGCUUUUGUUUACACCAGCACUUAAACGACAGCAAUAUUGUUUUAACUCCAGCGUUUUCAACAUACUUACAGAUCUAGUGUCAUGGUUUUACGCUCUAGUACUGUGGCUUUCCUUCUAUACGAAACAUCAGGUAUUUUAAAGUCAUGUGCAUGAAGACAGAAGAAAGAACAAGCACACAGGUCUCUGAUGCCCAUGUCAUGUGGAUGAAACAGUCGGCACAUCAUGAAAACCAUGCAGAACAGUGAAAGGCACAAUCACCAUAGAUAUCAUAUACCGAUCAUUUUUAAUACUCUAUUUGUACUUUGUUACUAAGGUGAACAUCUCUUCUAAUAACAACAUGAGGAAAAAAUACAAGCAUAUUUAUUUGUGUUGUCUUUUCUCAUUUCAUGUUUUCAGUCAAGCCUCCCUUAAAUCACAAAUAACUAUCUCUUCCACCAGCCUCUCGUGAGGCCUAACGGACAUCAUUCUAGUCCCACAAAUGAAAUGAAUCAUAUUGAACACACACACACAAAUAACACAGAGUAUACAGUAACCAGGUGUUACCCUGAACAGCAGUGGCGGAUCUGUUCAGAGGGCAGAGAUCACUGAUUUAAUGCUCAUGCCUUGUCCACUUCAUCUAACAUGUAGAAACAAUGCAAAUAGAAGACGACCUUCAAGUGGACGAUGUUAAGGACCCUUGUAAGGCUGCAGGGCAUUGGAUUUUCCUAGAUACACCACUGACAUUCGUACUGCACUCUCUGUGGAGUCAAUAUAAUGUAGAAACAGUCAGUUUCAAAUGAAAACAAAGAAAUAAAAGCAUAUUUAGAUUUACAUUAUACUUACAUUAUUUUGUUAAUAGAUAGCCUACUAUAUUAAUAGAUUUUGGCAGGUGAUAGAAAAGUCUACAAGAAGAACUCUUAAAAUGAUUCAACAUUAAACUGAGAGAAGAAAUAAAAGAAAAUUGCAUGUAAAAUCAAAUCCCCUCAAUGCAAAACAGCUCAAUGGUGGUAUUGACAACAUGGCAAAUGUUGGUUCCUAUCAUAAAAUACCCAGUAGAAUGAAGUGUACUCAAGUUUUUGGAACAACAUAUGGUUAAACGAUACCAUGAAAACAGGAAGGUGAUGUUUCAAAAUGAAAAUAACGCAAACACUGUAAAUAGUUUGCAAUUAUAUACACGUGAAUGCAACUAAUUGUUUACCUCUUAAGGUAGCUUUUUUCCCCAACUCAUGCAUGUUGGCAUCUCAUUCACCAUUGCAAACGAAAACAGCAUACUGCUAAACACCAUGAUCCUCCAUAAAAACGUAAGACAGUGCAAACUUCUCAAAGUCUCAAAAAUGUACAAACAGUCAUAUAAUUGUAUACUUUCAGCACCAUAGUUAGUCUAUUCAUUACUGAAUACACAUAAGAAAGAUGGUGGACGCAUUUCCUGUAAAAGUGCCGAGAGUAUUCGCUCACUAUCAAGAAAGAGCACAUUUUAGGAUUCGACGUAUGCGUUAGUGUGAGUGCAUGUGUGCUGGGUCCGUCACAAGAGAGACGAUGACCCAGCAACCUCUGAUCGACAGACAUCAGAAUACAA
Long non-coding RNA from Sinocyclocheilus rhinocerous, 2012 nucleotides. RefSeq lists it as uncharacterized. NCBI's taxonomy places the organism in Eukaryota, Metazoa, Chordata, Actinopteri, Cypriniformes, Cyprinidae. The transcript has 4 exons. The record is from RefSeq and is a predicted model, not a curated record.